RNAcentral lists this long non-coding RNA (515 nucleotides) under Pan troglodytes (chimpanzee). Its description in RNAcentral is "long non-coding RNA NONPTRT009833". Lineage: Eukaryota; Metazoa; Chordata; Mammalia; Primates; Hominidae. The record is from RNAcentral.
CUGACCAGGAGAAAAACCAACCAAUAGAAACAGGCCCAGACACUGACCAGGAGAAAAACCAACCAAUAGAAACAGGCCCAGACACUGACCAGGAGAAAAACCAACCAAUAGAAACAGCCCAGACACUGACCAGGAGGAAAAAAAAACCAACCAAUAGAAACACGCCCAGACACUGACCAGGAGAAAAACCAACCAAUAGAAACACGCCCAGACACUGACCAGGAGAAAAACCAACCAAUACAAACACGCCCAGACACUGACCGGGAGAAAAAAAAAACAACCAAUAAAAACAUGCCCAGACAAUGACCAGGAGAAAAACCAACCAAUAGAAACACGCCCAGACACUGACCAGGAGAAAAACCAACCAAUAGAAACACGCCCAGACACUGACCAGGAGAAAAACCAACCAAUAGAAACAGGCCCAGACACUGACCAGGAGAAAAACCAACCAAUAGAAACAGGCCCAGACACUAACCAGGAGAAAAACCAACCAAUAGAAACACGCCCAGACAGUG